UACAGAGGGUGCAAGCGUUAAUCGGAAUUACUGGGCGUAAAGCGCACGUAGGCGGUUUUUUAAGUCAGAUGUGAAAGCCCCGGGCUCAACCUGGGAAUUGCAUUUGAAACUGGGAAACUAGAGUGUGUGAGAGGGGGGUAGAAUUCCAAGUGUAGCGGUGAAAUGCGUAGAGAUUUGGAGGAAUACCAGUGGCGAAGGCGGCCCCCUGGCACAA
RNAcentral lists this ribosomal RNA (214 nucleotides) under uncultured bacterium. RNAcentral's name for it is "partial 16S ribosomal RNA". It matches the Rfam family "Bacterial small subunit ribosomal RNA", at positions 524 to 737 of the family's 1533-position model. The record is from RNAcentral.